Melospiza melodia melodia is the source of this 368-nucleotide long non-coding RNA. RefSeq lists it as uncharacterized. The record is from RefSeq and is a predicted model, not a curated record. NCBI's taxonomy places the organism in Eukaryota, Metazoa, Chordata, Aves, Passeriformes, Passerellidae. The transcript is spliced from 3 exons.
AGGAGACAUAUCUGCUACAGCUGAUCCCAACUGAUCAUAGGGGUGUUUGAGACCACGUGGCAGCAGGCUCAGCAAUAAAGGGGGCAGUUUUUCCAGGGGGCAGCUCCUCAGGGACAGGCUGGGCACCAGUUGGAUGGUGAGAGAAAAAAAGGCUACCUGAGGAAACCAAGUGAAUACAGCUGCUUGGAAAAGAGUGGCAUCAACAUAAUCCACUGUAAGAAGUAAGGAAGACAUAGCCAGCAGUUAUAUGUAAUGACAGUAUGCUUUCCAGAGGCUGGGCAAAACUUUCUUCAAAUACUAAUCAUGGACACUGAAACUAGUAGUCAUACAAAUGACAAGCUGUGGAAAGACAGACUGAUACAUCUAUG